CCACUCAGAAGGACAUUUUAGAGACUUUAUUGCCAUCCGCCAAGAGACUCUCAAAAGGAUCCCUGUAACCACAAAGCCUGUAGGUUUUAAGUUGCUAACAGCUACUUAGGAUCUGAGACUCUCAAUCUAACAGUUCUUGAAGAACAAGAAGUCUGCCAAUAACCAUGUAAGGAGCUUGGAAGCAAAGACUUUCCUAACUGCACCUUCAGGGGGCCACUGAUUCUUUGGAUUUAGCAUCAGUCUACUUUCCUUAUAUAAUGAUUGUAAAGGGCAGAGUUAAUGGCACAUUAUGUGCUUGGAAGACUAUCAUGACCCCUGAGUGGCCCCUCCCCAGCCAUAAUCACCACCUAAGUAAAGAAAAUCCAACCCUCUCAGGAGGCCUUCAUCUCUGGAGAGCCCCUUGCUCCAAUAUCGGAAAAACAAAGAGCUGUAUGUUUCUGCACAGAAGAACAUGUUAAGGACAUUUUAACUUCAGUUGUCCACAGAGAGAACCUAACAAGAUUUCUGUAGCCAUGAAGCCUACAGUUUUUAAGUUGCUUUAGUCUUCUCAGAUCAUGAUGGUUUUCUCAGGCUACUCAGCAUCUUCUGUUAACCUGAAUGGGCUCAUGUCCUGAGUAGAAAGUUUCAGACAAACAUGAAUACAGCAAAUAAAAAAAUUGAAUACUGGAUUGUGUUCCUGCCAUGAUUGGGGGUGUUUUGAAGCUGUGUGGUGAGAAAGUGACAGGCAUCACAAACUCUUUGUUUUCUAGUUCUAUCCUCCCAUAAUAGUCACACCCCUCUCCCUUGUCUCUCUCAAUAUAUGGGAUAUAGAUUCAAAAUACUUUGGAUUUGAAGGUGAAAAUCCUAAUAUAACCAUCAAUCAUUCGUUGUUCCUCUAUGUGGUGAAGUAGUCAGAAUAUUUGCU
Bos taurus (domestic cattle) is the source of this 904-nucleotide long non-coding RNA. The record is from Ensembl. NCBI's taxonomy places the organism in Eukaryota, Metazoa, Chordata, Mammalia, Artiodactyla, Bovidae.